RNAcentral lists this ribosomal RNA (484 nucleotides) under uncultured bacterium. RNAcentral's name for it is "partial 16S ribosomal RNA". It matches the Rfam family "Bacterial small subunit ribosomal RNA", at positions 30 to 507 of the family's 1533-position model. The record is from RNAcentral.
AUUGAACGCUGGCGGCAGGCCUAACACAUGCAAGUCGAGCGGAUGAAGGGAGCUUGCUCCUGGAUUCAGCGGCGGACGGGUGAGUAAUGCCUAGGAAUCUGCCUUGUAGUGGGGGAUAACGUCCGGAAACGGGCGCUAAUACCGCAUACGUCCUGAGGGAGAAAGUGGGGGAUCUUCGGACCUCACGGUAUCAGAUGAGCCUAGGUCGGAUUAGCUAGUUGGUGGGGUAAAGGCCUACCAAGGCGACGAUCCGUAACUGGUCUGAGAGGAUGAUCAGACACACUGGAACUGAGACACGGUCCAGACUCCUACGGGAGGCAGCAGUGGGGAAUAUUGGACAAUGGGCGAAAGCCUGAUCCAGCCAUGCCGCGUGUGUGAAGAAGGUCUUCGGAUUGUAAAGCACUUUAAGUUGGGAGGAAGGGCAGUAAGUUAAUACCUUGCUGUUUUGACGUUACCAACAGAAUAAGCACCGGCUAACUUCGUG